CGAAAGACGGCCAUAGUGAUCCGGUGGUCCCAAGUGGGAGGGCCAUCGCUCAACGGAUAAAAGGUACGCCGGGGAUAACAGGCUGAUGAUGCCCAAGAGUCCAUAUCGACGGCAUUGUUUGGCACCUCGAUGUCGGCUCAUCGCAUCCUGGGGCUGGAGCAGGUCCCAAGGGUUUGGCUGUUCGCCAAUUAAAGCGGUACGCGAGCUGGGUUCAGAACGUCGUGA
This 225-nucleotide ribosomal RNA is filed under the name Chaetoceros affinis. RNAcentral describes it as "partial Bacterial large subunit ribosomal RNA". It matches the Rfam family "Bacterial large subunit ribosomal RNA", at positions 2400 to 2624 of the family's 2925-position model. The record is from RNAcentral. Lineage: Eukaryota; Bacillariophyta; Thalassiosirophyceae; Chaetocerotales; Chaetocerotaceae.